Molecule: long non-coding RNA, 1210 nt
Organism: Perca flavescens (yellow perch)
Lineage: Eukaryota; Metazoa; Chordata; Actinopteri; Perciformes; Percidae
Exons: 6
Source: RefSeq, a predicted model, not a curated record
CUCUGUUUCAGAAUUACAAACAAAGAUGGCGGCGGAUGGAUAGUUGCAACUUGAAAUGAUGAUUACAAAAAGUCUUGAAGAAUUCUAACAAUGCCAUCAGCUCAGCGCAACAGUAGAGAAACGACAGAACAUAUGGGGAGAGAGAGUUGAGGAAUAACAUCCCCUGCCAUGCAGCGAACCACACAAUGAGCUUCACUUUGCAUAUGCUGGUACAGACUGACGGUGUAUUUGUCCUGGAUGGAAAAGUAAAAUCCUUCUCAUCAUCUUCCUCCUACUGCUUUCCCAAAAAGGUCAAGGGGUUGCCACUUAGCCCGGAGGAAGAAAAGCACAUGUGACACAGGAUCCUUGCAGGGCUAAUGGUCAUUACUCGAGCAGACGACCCCGCCCUCCCUCCGCCACCCUCAGACCUGCUGCUGGAGGUUCAGAAACCCACUUCCUGGUAUUUCGUCUCAAGGACUUCUUAAACACUGCCCUGGGCGUCCCUCCGGGGAAACAAAACAUGCUAGAGAGAGGAAGGGAAACAGUGGCUUAAUGUGAUCUGAGGACAACAACAACAACAAUGCCUGGAAAGUUUACCUACCGGGCCGCAAUCUGCCAUGAUGUGUUUCCAGUCCUACAGGUGCCAGGAAAUACGCCUCAGGCACGCUGUAGCAUUCAUUCAGAAAUGUGAUACUGUAAAUGCAUAGGAAAGUGCUCGAAACGUGUGAAACUGAGUAUAUACAUGUAUACGCAUGUGUGAAUGUUUUAGGCGUUUUAUGUGUGAAUGUUUUAGGCGUUUUAUGUAAAGUGUGUGUGGUUUGUGCUGUGCCCUUACUGUUAAGUCUGUUAGAGACAGAGAGAAAAUGAGACUUUUCUGCAACACUAUAUGACUAUAUGCUUGGAUGUGUUUUGGUGUUUGCCUCCAUCAUAUGUCUGUUAUUAGAGGUUAUAAGUCUCAGUCUCAGGUAGAAAUGUGAUAUUUUUUUUCUUCUUUUUUUUUUUUUAACAGAGCACAGUGUUUUAAAAAUCUAGAGAGGGUGAGUGAAUCUCUUCUCUAAACCAGCACAGAGAAAGAGCACAAGUGGCACCUAGUGGACUGCAGCAGUGCUGCACCCUGUCUUGAAGAGAGGCUGUUUCAGGCAUGGCUUGCUUUCUCACUUACUGACUUGGUGACCUGAGCAACAGGUCUAGGGUCUCUUGUUUUACUCCACUUCUUAAGGUUGACCUUUAU